AAAAUGACUCUCGGCAACGGAUAUCUCGGCUCUCGCAUCGAUGAAGAACGUAGCGAAAUGCGAUACUUGGUGUGAAUUGCAGAAUCCCGUGAACCAUCGAGUCUUUGAACGCAAGUUGCGCCCGAAGCCAUUAGGCCGAGGGCACGCCYGCCUGGGUGUCGCAC
RNAcentral lists this ribosomal RNA (164 nucleotides) under Harpalyce brasiliana. RNAcentral describes it as "5.8S ribosomal RNA". It matches the Rfam family "5.8S ribosomal RNA". Rfam says of the family: 5.8S ribosomal RNA (5.8S rRNA) is a component of the large subunit of the eukaryotic ribosome. It is transcribed by RNA polymerase I as part of the 45S precursor that also contains 18S and 28S rRNA. The record is from RNAcentral. Lineage: Eukaryota; Viridiplantae; Streptophyta; Magnoliopsida; Fabales; Fabaceae.